CUUUGACAGUAGCCGUUGACGCACUACUGGCGUCAAUUCAAUAAGCGCGUUGCUCUGCAAAAGACGCUUUCAUUACAUUCACGUUUCAGAAGCCGAAGAGGCGUUACAUACAUAUUAGCGUUGAAACGUUUUAAAAGACAAUUUUGUAAUUAUUCAUCCACACCGAACUAUGGCUACUGAUAAGUGCGAAGAGAGCUUGAUGUUGGCGACAUUGAAUGACGAUUGUAUCUUCACCAUAUUGGAAAGGCUGCCAUUAGAUGCCAUUUAUUCGUACAGCAGGACUUGCAAGCGCAUUCAAAGAUUGUG
This is a long non-coding RNA of Bradysia coprophila, 306 nucleotides long. Lineage: Eukaryota; Metazoa; Arthropoda; Insecta; Diptera; Sciaridae. The record is from RefSeq and is a predicted model, not a curated record.